RNAcentral lists this ribosomal RNA (231 nucleotides) under uncultured bacterium. Its description in RNAcentral is "partial 16S ribosomal RNA". It matches the Rfam family "Bacterial small subunit ribosomal RNA", at positions 104 to 334 of the family's 1533-position model. The record is from RNAcentral.
CGGGGUGGAGUAAUGUCUGGGAAACGUGCCUGAUGGAGGGGGAUGACUACUGGAAACGGUAGCUAAUACCGCAUAACGUCGCAAGACCAAAGAGGGGGACCUUCGGGCCUCUUGCCAUCGGAUGUGCCCAGAUGGGAUUAGCUAGUAGGUGGGGUAACGGCUCACCUAGGCGACGAUCCCUAGCUGGUCUGAGAGGAUGACCAGCCACACUGGAACUGAGACACGGUCCAG